Molecule: transfer RNA, 85 nt
Filed under: Tulipa orphanidea
Lineage: Eukaryota; Viridiplantae; Streptophyta; Magnoliopsida; Liliales; Liliaceae
Description: tRNA-Phe
Rfam family: tRNA (bases 41-85)
About the family: Transfer RNA (tRNA) molecules are approximately 80 nucleotides in length. Their secondary structure includes four short double-helical elements and three loops (D, anti-codon, and T loops).
Source: RNAcentral
UAAUUGAUAAAGUGCUCUACUAGGAUAAUGCGGGGAAAAGGUCGGGAUAGCUCAGUUGGUAGAGCAGAGGACUGAAAAUCCUCGU